Molecule: ribosomal RNA, 2755 nt
Filed under: Klebsiella pneumoniae
Lineage: Bacteria; Pseudomonadati; Pseudomonadota; Gammaproteobacteria; Enterobacterales; Enterobacteriaceae
Description: bacterial LSU rRNA
Rfam family: Bacterial large subunit ribosomal RNA
Source: RNAcentral
ACUAUCGUUAACUGAAUACAUAGGUUAACGAGGCGAACCGGGGGAACUGAAACAUCUAAGUACCCCGAGGAAAAGAAAUCAACCGAGAUUCCCCCAGUAGCGGCGAGCGAACGGGGAGCAGCCCAGAGUCUGAAUCAGCUUGUGUGUUAGUGGAACGGUCUGGAAAGUCCGACGGUACAGGGUGAUAGUCCCGUACACCAAAAUGCACAGGUUGUGAACUCGAAGAGUAGGGCGGGACACGUGGUAUCCUGUCUGAAUAUGGGGGGACCAUCCUCCAAGGCUAAAUACUCCUGACUGACCGAUAGUGAACCAGUACCGUGAGGGAAAGGCGAAAAGAACCCCGGCGAGGGGAGUGAAAAAGAACCUGAAACCGUGUACGUACAAGCAGUGGGAGCACCUUCGGGUGUGACUGCGUACCUUUUGUAUAAUGGGUCAGCGACUUAUAUUCUGUAGCAAGGUUAACCGUAUAGGGGAGCCGCAGGGAAACCGAGUCUUAACUGGGCGUUAAGUUGCAGGGUAUAGACCCGAAACCCGGUGAUCUAGCCAUGGGCAGGUUGAAGGUUGGGUAACACUAACUGGAGGACCGAACCGACUAAUGUUGAAAAAUUAGCGGAUGACUUGUGGCUGGGGGUGAAAGGCCAAUCAAACCGGGAGAUAGCUGGUUCUCCCCGAAAGCUAUUUAGGUAGCGCCUCGUGAAUUCAUCUUCGGGGGUAGAGCACUGUUUCGGCUAGGGGGUCAUCCCGACUUACCAACCCGAUGCAAACUACGAAUACCGAAGAAUGUUAUCACGGGAGACACACGGCGGGUGCUAACGUCCGUCGUGAAGAGGGAAACAACCCAGACCGCCAGCUAAGGUCCCAAAGUCAUGGUUAAGUGGGAAACGAUGUGGGAAGGCACAGACAGCCAGGAUGUUGGCUUAGAAGCAGCCAUCAUUUAAAGAAAGCGUAAUAGCUCACUGGUCGAGUCGGCCUGCGCGGAAGAUGUAACGGGGCUAAACCAUGCACCGAAGCUGCGGCAGCGACACUAUGUGUUGUUGGGUAGGGGAGCGUUCUGUAAGCCUGCGAAGGUGUGCUGUGAGGCAUGCUGGAGGUAUCAGAAGUGCGAAUGCUGACAUAAGUAACGAUAAAGCGGGUGAAAAGCCCGCUCGCCGGAAGACCAAGGGUUCCUGUCCAACGUUAAUCGGGGCAGGGUGAGUCGACCCCUAAGGCGAGGCCGAAAGGCGUAGUCGAUGGGAAACAGGUUAAUAUUCCUGUACUUGGUGUUACUGCGAAGGGGGGACGGAGAAGGCUAUGUUAGCCGGGCGACGGUUGUCCCGGUUUAAGCAUGUAGGCUGAUUAUCCAGGCAAAUCCGGAUAAUCAAGGCUGAGGUGUGAUGACGAGGCACUACGGUGCUGAAGUAACAAAUGCCCUGCUUCCAGGAAAAGCCUCUAAGCAUCAGGUAACAUCAAAUCGUACCCCAAACCGACACAGGUGGUCAGGUAGAGAAUACCAAGGCGCUUGAGAGAACUCGGGUGAAGGAACUAGGCAAAAUGGUGCCGUAACUUCGGGAGAAGGCACGCUGGUGUGUAGGUGAAGCCCCUGCGGGUGGAGCUGAGACCAGUCGAAGAUACCAGCUGGCUGCAACUGUUUAUUAAAAACACAGCACUGUGCAAACACGAAAGUGGACGUAUACGGUGUGACGCCUGCCCGGUGCCGGAAGGUUAAUUGAUGGGGUUAUCCGUAAGGAGAAGCUCUUGAUCGAAGCCCCGGUAAACGGCGGCCGUAACUAUAACGGUCCUAAGGUAGCGAAAUUCCUUGUCGGGUAAGUUCCGACCUGCACGAAUGGCGUAAUGAUGGCCAGGCUGUCUCCACCCGAGACUCAGUGAAAUUGAACUCGCUGUGAAGAUGCAGUGUACCCGCGGCAAGACGGAAAGACCCCGUGAACCUUUACUAUAGCUUGACACUGAACAUUGAGCCUUGAUGUGUAGGAUAGGUGGGAGGCUUUGAAGCGUGGACGCCAGUCUGCGUGGAGCCAACCUUGAAAUACCACCCUUUAAUGUUUGAUGUUCUAACGUUGGCCCCUGACCGGGGUUGCGGACAGUGUCUGGUGGGUAGUUUGACUGGGGCGGUCUCCUCCCAAAGCGUAACGGAGGAGCACGAAGGUUAGCUAAUCCUGGUCGGACAUCAGGAGGUUAGUGCAAUGGCAUAAGCUAGCUUGACUGCGAGCGUGACGGCGCGAGCAGGUGCGAAAGCAGGUCAUAGUGAUCCGGUGGUUCUGAAUGGAAGGGCCAUCGCUCAACGGAUAAAAGGUACUCCGGGGAUAACAGGCUGAUACCGCCCAAGAGUUCAUAUCGACGGCGGUGUUUGGCACCUCGAUGUCGGCUCAUCACAUCCUGGGGCUGAAGUAGGUCCCAAGGGUAUGGCUGUUCGCCAUUUAAAGUGGUACGCGAGCUGGGUUUAGAACGUCGUGAGACAGUUCGGUCCCUAUCUGCCGUGGGCGCUGGAGAAUUGAGGGGGGCUGCUCCUAGUACGAGAGGACCGGAGUGGACGCAUCACUGGUGUUCGGGUUGUCAUGCCAAUGGCACUGCCCGGUAGCUAAAUGCGGAAGAGAUAAGUGCUGAAAGCAUCUAAGCACGAAACUUGCCCCGAGAUGAGUUCUCCCUGAGACUUUAAGUCUCCUGAAGGAACGUUGAAGACGACGACGUUGAUAGGCCGGGUGUGUAAGCGCAGCGAUGCGUUGAGCUAACCGGUACUAAUGAACCGUGAGGCUUAACC